GAUGAACGCUGGCGGCGUGCCUAAUACAUGCAAGUCGAGCGAACGGACGAGAAGCUUGCUUCUCUGAUGUUAGCGGCGGACGGGUGAGUAACACGUGGAUAACCUACCUAUAAGACUGGGAUAACUUCGGGAAACCGGAGCUAAUACCGGAUGAUAUUUUGAACCGCAUGGUUCAAAAGUGAAAGACGGUAUUGCUGUCACUUAUAGAUGGAUCCGCGCUGCAUUAGCUAGUUGGUAAGGUAACGGCUUACCAAGGCAACGAUGCAUAGCCGACCUGAGAGGGUGAUCGGCCACACUGGAACUGAGACACGGUCCAGACUCCUACGGGAGGCAGCAGUAGGGAAUCUUCCGCAAUGGGCGAAAGCCUGACGGAGCAACGCCGCGUGAGUGAUGAAGGUCUUCGGAUCGUAAAACUCUGUUAUUAGGGAAGAACAUAUGUGUAAGUAACUGUGCACAUCUUGACGGUACCUAAUCAGAAAGCCACGGCUAACUACGUG
Molecule: ribosomal RNA, 497 nt
Filed under: uncultured bacterium
Lineage: Bacteria
Description: partial 16S ribosomal RNA
Rfam family: Bacterial small subunit ribosomal RNA
Source: RNAcentral